UACGGAGGGUGCAAGCGUUGUUCGGAAUUAUUGGGCGUAAAGGGCGUGUAGGUGGCUUUUCAAGUCCGGUGUGAAAUCCCACGGCUCAACCGUGGAACUGCAUUGGAAACUGGAUGGCUCGAGGGUUGGAGGGGGUCGCGGAAUUCCCGGUGUAGAGGUGAAAAUUCGUAGAUAUCGGGAGGAACACCAGUGGCGAAGGCGGCGACCUG
RNAcentral lists this ribosomal RNA (209 nucleotides) under uncultured bacterium. RNAcentral describes it as "partial 16S ribosomal RNA". It matches the Rfam family "Bacterial small subunit ribosomal RNA", at positions 524 to 731 of the family's 1533-position model. The record is from RNAcentral.